RNA transcript from Mus musculus (house mouse), 3250 nucleotides. It is a transcript of the gene named RAR-related orphan receptor gamma, with no coding region annotated. The record is from RefSeq and is marked validated. The transcript is spliced from 10 exons. Lineage: Eukaryota; Metazoa; Chordata; Mammalia; Rodentia; Muridae.
GUGGAGCAGAGCUUAAACCCCCCUGCCCAGAAACACUGGGGGAGAGCUUUGUGCAGAUCUAAGGGCUGAGGCACCCGCUGAGAGGGCUUCACCCCACCUCCACUGCCAGCUGUGUGCUGUCCUGGGCUACCCUACUGAGGAGGACAGGGAGCCAAGUUCUCAGUCAUGAGAACACAAAUUGAAGUGAUCCCUUGCAAGAUCUGUGGGGACAAGUCAUCUGGGAUCCACUACGGGGUUAUCACCUGUGAGGGGUGCAAGGGCUUCUUCCGCCGCAGCCAGCAGUGUAAUGUGGCCUACUCCUGCACGCGUCAGCAGAACUGCCCCAUUGACCGAACCAGCCGCAACCGAUGCCAGCAUUGCCGCCUGCAGAAGUGCCUGGCUCUGGGCAUGUCCCGAGAUGCUGUCAAGUUUGGCCGAAUGUCCAAGAAGCAGAGGGACAGUCUACAUGCAGAAGUGCAGAAACAACUGCAACAGCAGCAGCAACAGGAACAAGUGGCCAAGACUCCUCCAGCUGGGAGCCGCGGAGCAGACACACUUACAUACACUUUAGGGCUCUCAGAUGGGCAGCUACCACUGGGCGCCUCACCUGACCUACCCGAGGCCUCUGCUUGUCCCCCUGGCCUCCUGAGAGCCUCAGGCUCUGGCCCACCAUAUUCCAAUACCUUGGCCAAAACAGAGGUCCAGGGGGCCUCCUGCCACCUUGAGUAUAGUCCAGAACGAGGCAAAGCUGAAGGCAGAGACAGCAUCUAUAGCACUGACGGCCAACUUACUCUUGGAAGAUGUGGACUUCGUUUUGAGGAAACCAGGCAUCCUGAACUUGGGGAACCAGAACAGGGUCCAGACAGCCACUGCAUUCCCAGUUUCUGCAGUGCCCCAGAGGUACCAUAUGCCUCUCUGACAGACAUAGAGUACCUGGUACAGAAUGUCUGCAAGUCCUUCCGAGAGACAUGCCAGCUGCGACUGGAGGACCUUCUACGGCAGCGCACCAACCUCUUUUCACGGGAGGAGGUGACCAGCUACCAGAGGAAGUGUCAGAGGCUAGACACACCUGUGAGAUCAUCCUCAGCCCGUCCAACAACUGGCCUCUGAGAACAGAAUUUACACUGAGGGAGAAGUACAGAAGAUCAUACAGAGAUGGCUCCACAGUGUCUGCCACCCCUUCUGUCACACUCUGACAGUACCAGAGGCUCUGAAGUCAGCUGGCACUUCACAUUUGCACCUCUCAGUUGCUGAGACCUUCUUCAGGAGGAGCAGUAAUUAACAAUGUGUACACUGUUUGCAGGUGAAACUGUAUCAUGUAUGGUUUCCCUUUCUCCACAACAGCUAUCACAGUGUUGCAGGAAAGCCAUCGCCUCCUAUCUGGAGCCACUCCCUGGGAAUCCGGGAAGCUCUCUGGCAACCUUUUCUCUCCCGUAGCAGAAUCCUAAUACCUAGUAUUGAAUGGACUUCACAAGAGACCAGGUUAUCAGGGAGAAAGGAGUUUGAAGUUAAGAAAUUAGAAGUUUUCAACCCUUAUAUAAGUCUCUGGGAUUCCUUGUACUGAGCUGGGGAUAGCAGUAACUGUAACUCACUGACAGGCACUGACCCUGGCUACAUUUGUGCUAAUAGGCUCUAUGGUUGACAACAAUAUACAACUCAUACCCUAAAGUUUAUGGGGUGCAGGGGCUUGGGGGGAUCACAGGUCUCCUCCUCUAUCCCCGCAGUCAAUGUGGGAGAUGUGGGAGCGCUGUGCCCACCACCUCACUGAGGCCAUUCAGUAUGUGGUGGAGUUUGCCAAGCGGCUUUCAGGCUUCAUGGAGCUCUGCCAGAAUGACCAGAUCAUACUACUGAAAGCAGGAGCAAUGGAAGUCGUCCUAGUCAGAAUGUGCAGGGCCUACAAUGCCAACAACCACACAGUCUUUUUUGAAGGCAAAUACGGUGGUGUGGAGCUGUUUCGAGCCUUGGGCUGCAGCGAGCUCAUCAGCUCCAUAUUUGACUUUUCCCACUUCCUCAGCGCCCUGUGUUUUUCUGAGGAUGAGAUUGCCCUCUACACGGCCCUGGUUCUCAUCAAUGCCAACCGUCCUGGGCUCCAAGAGAAGAGGAGAGUGGAACAUCUGCAAUACAAUUUGGAACUGGCUUUCCAUCAUCAUCUCUGCAAGACUCAUCGACAAGGCCUCCUAGCCAAGCUGCCACCCAAAGGAAAACUCCGGAGCCUGUGCAGCCAACAUGUGGAAAAGCUGCAGAUCUUCCAGCACCUCCACCCCAUCGUGGUCCAAGCCGCCUUCCCUCCACUCUAUAAGGAACUCUUCAGCACUGAUGUUGAAUCCCCUGAGGGGCUGUCAAAGUGAUCUGGAGGAAGGACAACUUUCUAUUUCCUUCAGCCCUCUGACCCGUCUCCCUGGACUCCCUUCACCCAGCCUUUCCCUUUCUGCACUCUAUGAAGGGUGGUAUCCCUAGGAGUAAGCAAAUCCUAAGACUGAUUUUCUGCCCCUAGGCUUGCCUUGUAGGACAACAGCAGCAAGUGAUGGAGAAAAGGCUUGUUAUGUUUGAUUUCCCAUAAGUUCCACCCUGGCUUCUGGAAGCUGUGGGGUAGAUGGGAUAGAGAUAGGAUGACCAAGUCAAAUAAAAAACAGACUGACAAUCAGCAGGGAUAAAUCCAGGUACCUGGGAUAAGGAGAACUCAAAUCUAGGCUUGAAAGCUAAUAACAGUCCUUUCAAUACCUCAUUGUAUUUCCCCAUGGGUCCUCCUGGGGGGACAUGGAUCUAGCUCAGAGACUGGUGGCAAGCCCCCAGAAGGACCUGUAUAUAAUAAGAAUAUAGAUUCCUGAGACUUUUCUGCCUUUCUUCUUCCUAGUUAAGAAAUGUUGUUGACCCCCUCUGCCUGUUUUCUGGGACCUAAAAUGCCUGGAUGUGUAAAGAAUGAGGGUGGGGUGGAGAUAAGGUCCCAAGAUAACUGUUUUAUGGGGUUUGGGUAUGAAGAAAAACAUCACUGGAAAAAUUAGAAUGGAAACCUCUUUGCACACUUUAAAAGUGUCAGAUUCGUUAGCAGUCUAAUCAGAGACACACAUCCACACAGGUGGAGCACACAGAGGCUCUGCCCCCAGUGACACCAUUCUGUAGACUUUCCCUCUGGCACACAAUCUCUUCCUUGAGGUUGCAGCUCUGAGAAGCCUGAGGUUCUAAUUCAUACAGGACACCAGAAUUCAUCCCAGCUCCAGCUGUCCUCUGUCCCUAAGAGAAGCAGAGGACCGGAUACUAACCAGCCGGAAAA